This 382-nucleotide ribosomal RNA is filed under the name uncultured bacterium. RNAcentral describes it as "bacterial SSU rRNA". It matches the Rfam family "Bacterial small subunit ribosomal RNA", at positions 30 to 419 of the family's 1533-position model. The record is from RNAcentral.
AUUGAACGCUGGCGGCAGGCUUAACACAUGCAAGUCGAGCGGUAACAGGCCUUCGGGUGCUGACGAGCGGCGGACGGGUGAGUAACGCGUAGAAAACUGCCCGGUAGUGGGGGAUAGCCCAGAGAAAUUUGGAAUAAUACCGCAUACGCUCUACGGAGGAAAGCGGGCUUUCGGCUCGCGCUAUCGGAUGUGUCUGCGUGAGAUUAGCUAGUUGGUGAGGUAAUGGCUCACCAAGGCGACGAUCUCUAGCUGGUCUGAGAGGAUGAUCAGCCACACUGGGACUGAGACACGGCCCAGACUCCUACGGGAGGCAGCAGUGGGGAAUAUUGCACAAUGGGGGAAACCCUGAUGCAGCCAUGCCGCGUGUGUGAAGAAGGCCUUC